Molecule: long non-coding RNA, 568 nt
Organism: Erpetoichthys calabaricus (reedfish)
Lineage: Eukaryota; Metazoa; Chordata; Cladistia; Polypteriformes; Polypteridae
Exons: 2
Source: RefSeq, a predicted model, not a curated record
ACAAAGGAGGUAGAGUGCACAGAGAAUGCAAUAAACAUUAGUUUCAGUUGUGGUCUUGUCACAUAAUACUCGUAUAUAUACAGUACAGUGAAAUUUUUAAAUUAAAAAUAUAAAUGAUGAGAUAGUGACAUUAUGAACAGGCUCAGGGUUAAUCCACAAUGCCAGUUUUUCCAAACCCUUAUCACUAACAAAUAUGUUUGGACUAUUGGGUUUCCAGUAAAGUUUGGUAUGAAUGAUGUUGUGUAAGGGAUAAAUAGGUCAAUGACAGGCAGUAAAAAAGAUUACUAUAGUGUAUUUCAGCAAUUAUAGAUAAAUGGGAGAUCAAACAAGUGUCAGGUUUAGGGCGAUAGAAAAUAAUUUAUUUUCCAGGGCAGUUUUGCCAUUUGUAAGAGAGUGAAACAAAGCACACAUUUUUCCACCCUUUAAAAUUCAUUAGCAGAGGAUGUCCUCUCCAGUGCACUCAUAGGAGGGGGCACAUGCAUGCAGCUGCUCACACUGAACAUUCCCAUCUCACCACAUAAAAAAACAUGGGGGGGGGGGGGGGGCGGUGAAAGAAGAAAAACAAAAA